GAUCAUGGCUCAGGAUGAACGCUAGCGUACAGGCUUAACACAUGCAAGUCGAGGGGCAGCAUGACUUAGCUUGCUAAGUUUGAUGGCGACCGGCGCACGGGUGAGUAACACGUAUCCAACCUGCCGAUGACUCGGGGAUAGCCUUUCGAAAGAAAGAUUAAUACCCGAUGGCAUAGUUCUUCCGCAUGGUAGAACUAUUAAAGAAUUUCGGUCAUCGAUGGGGAUGCGUUCCAUUUAGGG
This 240-nucleotide ribosomal RNA is filed under the name uncultured bacterium. Its description in RNAcentral is "partial 16S ribosomal RNA". It matches the Rfam family "Bacterial small subunit ribosomal RNA", at positions 15 to 246 of the family's 1533-position model. The record is from RNAcentral.